This is a long non-coding RNA of Mustela erminea (ermine), 194 nucleotides long. RefSeq lists it as uncharacterized. The record is from RefSeq and is a predicted model, not a curated record. The transcript has 3 exons. Lineage: Eukaryota; Metazoa; Chordata; Mammalia; Carnivora; Mustelidae.
CCGAGCCGGAGGCAGACACCUAACUGACUGAGCCACCCAGACAGAGAUUCCAGGAGGCUGACGGCGUGAGACAUCUUACGUUCUCCUGGCUGUAUAUCAGAUGCCCAAGAAUCUGCAGGGUUUUUGGAGCAAAUAUCCAGUGAAAGUUUAUCCUGCCAAAGAGAGAGAGACACAGCGACAGAGGGAACACAAGC